Molecule: long non-coding RNA, 6250 nt
Filed under: Citrus maxima (pomelo)
Lineage: Eukaryota; Viridiplantae; Streptophyta; Magnoliopsida; Sapindales; Rutaceae
Description: long non-coding RNA (CMAX_LNC002827)
Source: RNAcentral
CGCACGGUUGGUCGUUUGAUUUUGGGGAUUCUUUUUUAUUUCCAUUAUUAUAUUACAUGUAUAAAUAAUAAUAAAAACAGUUCAGAUUGUUCCUUAGUUUGAUGAUAGGAACGCCCCCGUGGCCUGAGUUAUUAUUUUUGUAUACCAUUCUGUAGACUUUUGAUACACGUACUCUUGUUCUUGUACUUUGAAUUUUAUUUACUAUGUAUAUUUAAUUCUCUACAGUGGCUGAUUAAUUUAUCUUUAAAUCAAUGCUUGAUUGUAGAUACAUUUUCAAUACAAAAUAAGAACGAGUUGGUUUGGGGCCAACACAAACAUAUACAUACAUGCAAUCACAUUGAAAGCACGUUCAUAACAAGAAUAAUAUAUAUAUAGAUAUCUAUAUUCACAUGUAUCAUAUGUGUAGUGACUGAUUUGGUCGGUUUAAUUUGCAGUUGUGCUGGCUUGUGUUGCUGCUGUGCCUUGGACGCCUGCUUCUGAACACACACGCACGGUUGAUCGUUUGACUUUGGGCAUUCCUUUUUAUUUCCAUUAUUGCAUGAAUAAAUAAUAAUGAAAACAGUUCAGAUUGUGUUAGGUCCCAGAUGUAGCUAACAAUUACAAUUGUUAGACGUAAUAUUUUCUGCUUAUGGUGAGAAAUAUCUAAAGUGUUUUUUGUUGUUUGAAUACUCUCCCCUUUUAUUCAUAUUGUUGGACGUGUGGGCGCCCAACAUGGGCCGAGCCGACCCGACCCACACAUGGUAACCAUUUGUUGUGUUUAACUUCCCAACCGUGCUACAUAUACAUGCCAUCAAAAUCGUUGCUGUGGAGAUGUGGUUUACUUCUUUAUUCAUUAAAAAGAAAAACAAGAUCUUUGAACAAUUCGUAAAAGGCAAAUAUACUGUGACUUGAGAAAGAUUUCCGCUCGUGAUUUCUUUCCGACCAGUGACGUGAUCCAACACAUGUUUAUUCCGGCACAUAAUUCAAAAAAGGUAAGGCCUAUUGAUUUUUUUUUUAAAGAAUUUCUUCAUUGGUAUUAGAGCCUGAAUUGUUUUGGAUUCGUGCAUUGGUUGGAUUUAAUUCAUGAAAAGCUUGAUUUUUUAAAAUUUUUUUAUGAUGCUAUUGUUUUAAUUGCUCUAGAAUGUUUAAUAUGAAUGGAUUAAUUUUGGAAUUGAUAUUAUUAAAACCGGCCUAAGGUUUAGAUUGCAUGAACCCUAAAUAUAUAUGAAACCCGAAACUUCAAUGGAUCAUAUCUUUUGAUUUAGGACACCUGGCAAUAUGUGUGAUAUAUCAUUGGAAAGAUAUUUUCGAGAGCUUUCCAACGGUAUGUGAUUUGUUAAAAACGGACUUAAGACAAGAAAUUUAUGGCCAAAAUAUUAUUCUGGUUGGAUUAGAGUUUGUAAAGGGUUAAAAACUUUAAUUUUUACAAGAUGAUGAAUAGUGCCGGAGUUAGUUUUUUUGACGAUUUCAGCCUAUUCCGACCUCCGUUUGAAAUCCGAAUGUUCCAUUGAAUUCAUAAUGAAGAUCCAAUGUGCUCGUUAGUGCCGUGACUGGCAGUGCCUCUGGUUGCACUAAAAAAUUCAGCCAAUUUGCUCAUGGUGUCCUCCAGACACUGCAGCUUGUCAUUGAUCCCAAUUUCCAUUUAUUCCAUCUUGUUUUGGAAGCUCCUGAUAUCAGCUUCAAUUUGUUCGAUGCGCUUCUUGUUGGUCGUCAUUGAUAGCUAGCACUUAUACCAAUGUUAAGUCCCAGUCAAAUGUAACUAACAAUUACAAUUGUUAGAAGUAAUAUUUUCUACUUAUGGUCAGAAAUAACCAAAGUGUUUUUGUUGUUUGAAUACUCUUCCCCUUUAUUCAUGAAAUAACCAAAGUGUUUUUGUUGUUUGAAUACUCUUCCCCUUUAUUCAUAUCUCUGGAGCUUAUUUAUAACAAAAGACUUUGAUUUCCAACCCAAUAUCUCAGCUGGGAUCAAUCAACAAAUAUCAAGCUAACAACUUGACUAAUAUUUCGAACUGAAAAAUAAAUCAAAAGUAAAUCAAAAGCAAACUUCCAAGAUUUGGAUCCCCCCUCAAUCUCUGCACGAUCUCUGACAAAGUAAACCCAAAAUCAUGGCUCCGAUUUGGCAUUCACACAUUAACCUCACGUGAGACUUCAUGCAUGGCUUUGGGAAUGGCUUUGCAUGGCACCCUUCACGUAGGGUACUUUGGGUUUGGCUUUGGUAGCCUAUCAGACCUUCGUGGCUCAUGACUCUGCACUCUAUCAGAUUGUUCCUUAGUUUGAUGAUAGGAUUGCCCCCGUGGCUUGAGUUAUUAUUUUUGUAUACCAUUCUAUAGACUUUUGAUCCACAUACUCUUGUUCUUGUACUCUGAAUUUUAAUUAUUAUGUAUUUAAUUUUCUGCAGCGGCUGAUUAAUUUAUCUUUAAAUCAAUGCUUGAUUGUAGAUACAUUUUCAAUACAAAAUAAGAACAAGUUGGUUUGGGGCCAACACAAACACAUACAUGCAAUAACAUUGAAAGCACGUUCAUAACAAGAAUGAUAAUAUAAUGACUUUAACAUAUUUUUCAAAAAAAAAUUAUUUCCAGAUUUAUCUUAUGUAUGAUCAAAAGUCUAUCACAAUCUUUUAAAUCAGCAUUAGAAACCAUCAACUUAAAAAAGAAGUUCACUCGUCGGUCAACUAUAACAAAGAUAGAAAUACAAGCUCAUUCUUCAGCAUUGAUGCCGUGUACUUUCGAGUCAGAGGAAUGAUUUUUCAAUUUGAGUGCUAACUGCUUCGAGAGAAAAUACUAAAGAGCAAAGAGAUGCCCGAUUUGGUGUACUUUCCAACCUUUUGAAACCGAACACAAAAUUCAAACAAAACUGUCUAAGUUGACCUUUACGAAAGAGGGGAAAUUACAUGUGAACCGAUCAAGUGAAAAUAGUUUAUUUGAUGCGAUUCAUAAGAUAAUUUAUUUCAUUAUUUCUACUGUACUGAUUGAAUAAUCUGGUAGACAUCACAUUACUUUAAUCAUGAAAUUUUUUUAAAAGAGUGGUAUCAAAUAAUCAGUUAGACUACAUUUUAAUUUGUCAAAAGUCUUACUUAAGUCCUGUUUGGUAUUGAAAUAUUGUAGCUCUUAGGAAAAAAAAGUUGUGACUAUAAAAUAAAAGUUAAUAAUAUGUAGUAAAUAUAAUUAUUAAAUAAUAAUUUUGACAAAAUUAUUAAAGAUAUUAACAGAUUUUUCACCAUAAAAGUAUAAAAUUAUAAGUGUAAAAUCAAAUUAAUUCAACUUCCAACCUACAACAACUAAUAUUUACUAAACAUUGUAAAUUUUAUACUCCAGCUAUCCAACAUCAAUCACAAACAGGAUAGUAAUCAUAUAUUUACUAAUAUAAAAUUUUUGAUUCACCAAGUAUUUUAUUUUCACUAUACUUCUAUCUUUCAAAUGUUUGGUAUGAAGUUUAGACAACCUCAAACUAAUUUAUAUUAUAAUCAAUUAUUACAAAUGUUUGAGUAUUGUGGAGGCACAUUUUUUUUUUUUUUAAUAAUUGUCUCAAGACAGUUUAUUCAUAUAAUCGAAAUUAGGGAUACAAAAUUAUUCUUAUAUAAAUUAUUGUGACACAAUUGUAUAAAAAUGCAACUCCCUAAUCUUGUAAUUUAAAAUGUUUGAAAUUAUGAGAUUUUGUAAUUGUAUGUUUAAAAGUUAAUCAUAAUUUGUAACACUUAUUAAUUAUAAUUGAUCGACACCAACGAAUAACUUUCUCAAUAUAUAAUUAUUGUGGAUUGCACGUUUCUUGUUUCGAAAUCGGAGGCCGUUACUAAUUUACCCAAGUGGGGCUUGCCCCAGUGUUUUAAGCAAACGCCUAACACACAUGAUUUUUUUAUUAAAAAGAUAGAGAUUUGGGAUGAUGAAAUUGGAUGAUUUGGUGCAUCUAAUUCAUAAUGUGACAAGAUGAGAUUUCACUUAACAACAUAUUUGCCAAUCAAUAUAACAAAUUGCGUGCACAUCCAAAACAAGUCGUGUUUUAUUAUAUUAGUUAAAACCUUUCAAUCAUAUAUUUGUUGGCCAAUUAAAUUACGCAAUUAACACCCUUUUCUUCUUCUUGUUCAAAAUCCGAUUCACUGAUUUUACUUCAAAUUAAUUAAUAAAUGAAUAGCAAGUUUCUUUCUUAAACAAAUAUCAUUUUUAUUUUUAUUUUUCUUUAUCUCGAGAGAGAGACCUUCCCCGUAGCCAAUAAGUCCGUUUCCUCAAAUUGAGGAUGGUUUAUGAGUUUUCUUUAUUUUCAACUCAAAAAUUAAUACGUUUGAAGAACAAAGAAAUGUGAGUUGGUCAAAUUCAUUGGAAACAAUUUUAGUCAAUUUUAUUAUAAACCGUUGUUUUCGUUGAUUUUAUUUGUUAAGUCAGUCUACAACACAAACCCUAUAAUGUUCCAAUCUCGCUAAUUAUUUUUUCUAUAGAAAAUUUUCAUUGGAUGUAUAUCGCACUACUUUUGUUAUAGUACUUUCAAUUUUUUUUUGUUAGCACUAGCUUUAUAGAAAAUACAAGAGCAUUUAACGUAGUUUAUGAACACACAGGUUCUAAAUGGUAAUAGAACAAGGACUGAUGUUUAGUAAGUGCAAUUUUUCAUUUAUAUCCAAAUCUAAAAAUAAUAAUAUUAGAUAAAACCCCUGUAACUUUAAGACAUACAUAUUCUCAAAGCACAACUGGAGCCGAGAGGCUGGGAGUCAUAAUGAAAAGAAGAGGGAUUUCUAGAAGCCGAGUAAAUACUAAGUACAAUAAAAUUGGGGACCAUAAUGGAAACUGGUAGUAACUUACAAUGGUUAAAAUCAGAACAACGCCAUCUGAAGAUCGCCAAAAACGUAAACAAUUAAUCUUAUCUUUCAAUUGAUUUUUGUGGAGCCAGAAAUAAUUAGACCGAACAGCAAAUAGCCAUAAAUGAUAGGAUGUUAUAUUUAUUAUGUGAGUCGUUGGUAUGCGUUUUCCACUUUGUUGUCUUAGAUGCAACGACUCAGGCAAUUAAAAUAAAUAAAAAAACAAAAAAAACUUACACGUGAAGUUUAAAAAUUAAUGUCCAUUUAAAUACGAAUCUAAUUUUAAACGCUUAUUCAGGCAACAAUUUUAAUCGGCAAAAAAUUAAAAAUACUAAUCAAGAAGCAGAGGCCGCACAGGCGGUAGGGCUGCGGCUAACUUUAUAGUUUAUAGUUUAGAAGAACGUUCUUUUCUUUCUUUUAGAGUUGAUGCCGUGAGAUGUUUUUUUAUAUUAUUAUUAUUAGUAUAACUGUGGUUGCGGAUUCAACUGAAAUAAUCUUCUUCGACGACGACGCGUAGCGACCGCCCUCGCUGAACUCUCCUUCCAAGAAACAACAACCACUCCGCCAUUUUUCUUCUAUAAAUACAUAUACAUCACACACAUUUACAUAUUUACACCCACUCUCGUCGUCAUCAUCAUCAAUUAACAUAUCUCCAACUUCAGCUUCUUCUCCCACCUAACCUGCAAUUUUUCUUCCUUUGCCUUUGCCAGUCUUUUCUCUCUUCUAUCAACUGCAAGCAUGAGUUCCUACAAUCAGAAUCAGUCCUCAGGUAACUAAAUCAUCUGUUUAUCCCACUUCUCCUCCUGUUGUUACGUUCCCCCGUUUUAAAUUGUGAAUCUUGAAUCUACAUGUUUUAUCUUAACUGGGUAAUUGUGUAUAUGUAGUAGCAUACCCCCCACCACCACCGUCUACAACGGCGGGUCCAUACGUGGCGGCGCCACCACCGGCAGGUUAUCCAACGAAAGACGGCGAUCAUGGUUACGCUCAAAAUGCCCCCGUAGAAACCAAGUCCAGAGGCUUCUGGAAAGGAUGGUAUGCAAUCUUUAUGUUUCACCUCACCAUAUGUUGAUUACUCAUAUAUAUAUAUAUAUAUAUAUAUAUAUAUACACACACACACGCACAUCUAUCAUAUAUGUAGGGACUGAUUUGGUUGGUUUAAUUUGCAGUUGUGCUGGCUUGUGUUGCUGCUGUGCCUUGGACGCCUGCUUCUGAACACAUACGCACGGUUGAUCGUUUGAUUUUGGGGAUUCUUUUUUAUUUCCAUUAUUAUAGUACAUGUAUAAAUAAUAAUGAAAACAGUUCAGAUUGUUCCUUAGUUUGAUGAUAGGAACGCCACCGUGGCUUGAGUUAUUAUUUUUGUAUACCAUUCUGUAGCCUUUUGAUACACAUACUCUUAUUUUUGUAUACCAUUCUGUAGACUUUUGAUACACAUACUCUUGUUCUUGUACUUUGAAUUUUAUUUACUAUGUAUUUAAUUCUCUGCAGUGGC